CUGAAACCAGCAGAUAAAAGGAUCAUGUCAACCAGAAGUGGCUGUUCAUUCAGGACUGGGAGACUGACCUUACAACUAGGCACAGAACUUGGUGAAACCAUCGGAUCCAGCAGCCUCAAUGUCAAUUAAAAUGUGUGUACUUACAAAACAAGAAGAAAGAACUGUGAAACCUAGUAACUCCGCAAAUUACACAUGGUUCAAGCAAUUUUUAUAUGUUGAAAGGUUUCAAAGACAAGCUACAGCAUCUUUACAGCAAAUGACACACAGACAUC
Molecule: long non-coding RNA, 272 nt
Organism: Polypterus senegalus (gray bichir)
Lineage: Eukaryota; Metazoa; Chordata; Cladistia; Polypteriformes; Polypteridae
Exons: 3
Source: RefSeq, a predicted model, not a curated record